AGCAGUGUGGCUUAAUGGAAAGUGUAUAGGCCUGGAAGUCUAGAGGACCUGGGUUCUAAUCCCAGCUCUGUCA
Molecule: transfer RNA, 73 nt
Filed under: Ornithorhynchus anatinus (platypus)
Lineage: Eukaryota; Metazoa; Chordata; Mammalia; Monotremata; Ornithorhynchidae
Rfam family: tRNA
About the family: Transfer RNA (tRNA) molecules are approximately 80 nucleotides in length.
Source: Rfam by way of RNAcentral